This 440-nucleotide ribosomal RNA is filed under the name uncultured bacterium. RNAcentral's name for it is "partial 16S ribosomal RNA". It matches the Rfam family "Bacterial small subunit ribosomal RNA", at positions 338 to 795 of the family's 1533-position model. The record is from RNAcentral.
CCUACGGGUGGCAGCAGUGGGGAAUAUUGCACAAUGGGGGAAACCCUGAUGCAGCGACGCCGCGUGAGUGAAGAAGUAUCUCGGUACGUAAAGCUCUAUCAGCAGGGAAGAAAAUGACGGUACCGGACUAAGAAGCCCCGGCUCACUACGUGCCAGCAGCCCCGGUAAUACGUAGGGGGACAGCGUUAUCCGGAUUUACUGGGUGUAAAGGGCGCGUAGACGGCAGCACAAGUCUGGAGUGAAAUGCCCGGGCUUAACCCCGGCACUGCUGUGGAAACUGUGCGGCUUGAGUGCAGGAGGGGUAGGCGGAAUUCGUAGUGUAGCGGUGAAAUGCGUAGAUAUUAGGAGGAACACCGGUGGCGAAGGCAGCUUGCUGGACUGGAACUGACGUUGAGGCUCGAAAGCGUGGGGAGCGAACAGGAUUAGAUACCCUGGUAGUC